GGCUGCCGGCACCGACAUCGGCACCGGCACCCGGGGGUCGGGGCAGCGCCGCGCAGCCGGGCGGCGGAGGCGGCGGGGCUGAGACCGCAGCCCGCGCCCGGCCCCUGCGGCCGGGCCCCGCGGGCACCCCGGCAGCCCGGUCCCCCUGCACGCCUACGAAGCUGUUUCCCCUGCUAUGAUGCCAGGGCAGAUCCCCGACCCGUCCCUGACGGCUGGCGCGCUGCCUGGGCUCGGCCCUUUGACAGGACUGCCUGGCACAGCCCUGACUGCCGAGGAGCUGAAGUGCGCCGACAUCCGCAACAUCGGGGCCAUGAUCUCGCCGCUCCACUUCCUGGAGGUGAAGCUUGGGAAGAGACCCCAGCCUGUGAAAAGUGAGCUGGAUGAGGAAGAGGAGAGGAGGAAAAGGCGCCGGGAGAAAAACAAAGUAGCAGCAGCACGAUGUCGUAACAAGAAGAAGGAGAGGACGGAGUUCCUGCAGCGGGAGUCUGAGCGUCUAGAGCUCAUGAAUGCUGAACUGAAGGCCCAGAUAGAAGAGCUGAAACAGGAGAGGCAGCAGCUGAUCCUGAUGCUAAACCGGCACCGUCCCACCUGCAUCGUGCGGACAGACAGCAUCAAGACUCCCGAGAGCGAAGCUAACCCGCUGCUGGAGCAGCUAGAGAAGAAGUGAAGGUGGCACUGGGCCAGGAGGAGGAGACAGUGGCGCAGGGUGUUCCAGGGUCUCUGAUGUAUGUACUGUAUGAAGAACUGUGCACCCAGACCUGGUGCGGACCCAGUGAGGACCCAGUGGGCUUCCUUGGGAACUAUGGACCAAAUAUGGGGACAGAGAAGAUCAGGAACCUGCCAACCAUGUACUCUGAGGCUGAACCUGGGAGCAGGGCUAGUGGCACCAGUGAGGGCAACCUCCCUGUGAUACCUCACCACAGCCCUCCAGCCUGCUCGCAGCCCUGGGGACCCACGAUGCCACAUGUCCUGCAAGGACCACACACCCCGUGGGUAGCAGGGGCGGCAGGCAGAGGAGUGGCAGCUGCACGGUGCCCACUAGCACCCUGCCCAGAGGCUGCUGCUGCUCCUGGAGCAUGCUCCAGCAGGAAACCCAAACCCAAGAACCACAAACACUUGAUGCAGCCCCGUCUGGUGGGCAGGCCUGUCGGGGCUUGGUGGCGCAGGCGCCCCUCACAAGCACACUCAGUAUAAUGUUUACAGCCCAGCUGUCCGUGUCGGCCGUGCUUUUGAAUGCACAUUUUUACACUUUUUUAAAGUAUUUUUUACAAAGUUUUUAUACAGCAAUCUCUAUAAGGAUUUAUAUAAUCACUAGACGUGAUCCCAUAGAAAUGUCCCUCUGCUUCUGAGAUACUUGAGGUGCCUCAACAACCAGGACCACCAGCAGGAACUCCUGAUGUGCCAACAGCCUCAUCUAGCACAUGCCUAUCUCCUGUUUUGUGAGAUCUACAUUCAGGUCAUAACCCUUGUGCUCCUUCUCAUACUCCCUAGUUCAGAACAGAGCUCUCCCCAGGGUGAUGUGGUACAAUAUUUUUCCUGAAUCCCAAGCAGGUGAGCCCUAUCACUUUUCUAUUGCUUAGAUGCUUGUCGCAGCUCCCUGGUGUCCUUCACAUACUACCCCAGUUUCCUCUGCAAAGCCACUCUUACCUCUUCUCUCCCAAGGAAAGGUAGGUGCCACUUUGCCUCAAAGCACCAGGCCUGAGGCACUGCAGGUAUGUUGGGCUGAGGAUCCACCUACAGUAGGUUGGUGUGGGUGCUCCACACUGCACACCUGACUCCCUUCUUCUUGCUGGACCCCUGAGAAGUGGCAGGGCCCAUGGGCAGCAGGAACUCAGUUUCCCUAGAAGGGUCCCUGGUCUUGCCAGCUCUUCACUCUCUCUCCUGCAAUCAUGAGCAGCACAUCAUGCUCCCAAAGCUUUGUGUUAGCUCCCUUCCAUUACUCCUCCUCUUAGCCUCUUCCCACCUGCUGCCCCCAUCCCCUUGUAGGUGAGAGUCCCUGUGUGCUGUCCUGGGAGCAAAGGCAUCCAACAUCUCCCUUGGCCUGCAGCUGGUCACAGGCAAGGGAUGCUUGGAGGCCAUUACUUUGCAGUUUUUCACAGUAUUGUUCUCACUUUGUAUUUGAAAAACUACCUCCUCUGCCUUUCUCGUCAGGGGCCAAGGGCGACUCCGUGACACUGUGGUAAGUGGUAUUAACUAACCUUUGCCAGUGACCUGCCUCUCUUGUUUCAUUUUGAGCCAAGGGCAACAGGUAUUCAUUUAUCUUUGUCCUUAUUGGUUCGUCUACUCAACUUGCUGUAAAAUAAGCCCCAAAAAUCCCCAGCUUUGAUAUUUACCAAGAGUCGUGAAAACUGCUUUGGUUACCAUGCAUGCCAGACUAUGCUGAGCAGUACUGGCACCAGCAUGGCCCAUGACUGAGUGCAGGACUGGAGCCAGGGAAAACUGUGUUGCCAAGAUAUUUGCAGAGAAAUGAGAAAAACUAACUAGUGCUUCCCUGAGCCUGGAAGUACCACUUGGUUCCCCAUGCCUUUGUACACUUUUUGCUUAUUCGUGAUCGCUGUUUGCUGGUGACUGAAGCAUGGGCGUGAGACAGUGGGACACAGGUACAGGCCCUGGGCCUGCAUGGAGGCACCAUGCUCCUGCUGGGCUCCGGAAACUGCCCUGAGGGCAAAGCAGGCUGGGUUACCUGUCUCUGAUUAAGGGCGUGAUUCUUCACACACCGUGCAGUUGGUGGGGUGACCAGGGUCGUCUCUUGUCUGAGUGAUGGAGGCAGGCAGGGCAGGUGCUGUUGGAGGUAUAGCUGGACCCACUGGCAGUGGACUUGCUGUCAGCGUCUCUGCCACCAACACUUUCCAUCUGAGGAAAAAAUCCUUCCCUACAGCCAGGAGGACUCCCUGGCUCUCGCUGGGCAGGACCACCGGGAAGGGCUGGCACCUCGGACAGCAUGGCUGGGAUUUGCCUUUUCUCUGCAUCUGGUGCUCAGGAAGUUAUUCCCAAUUAGCUAAACUGAUGGGCUGGUGUGGUGAUGAAAAACCCUCCUCCAGAUGCCCUGCUGCUGCGUUAAAAUGGGUUUACUUUGGUUUGGUGUUUUGGAGUGACCAACUCAAGUGGACUCCAGACCAGGGAUGCAUUUAGCAGAGUGGGCAGUGGGUAUGAUGGCCUGUGGUGAUAAGCUCUUUGUGAGCAAAGCCUGCUCAGAGGGGAGGGAGUGAGCCGUCUUGUAUCAGGACUGCUCUAAUUCUGAUUAAGACCAUCUGCCAAGGGGUUUACUGAACUUCAAUCACUUCCAAAUUUAAUACAGCUUAGCUGUUCUGAAUGUUUCUGUGCGACUGACUCUUGGUUCUCCAGCCCUGUAUCCUGCUGUCUGUGCAGGGUGCCAUGGGUUUUGGUGAAAGGUUAGCCCCUUGGAGGAGGAAAAACUCCUGCCAUUCAAGGCAGGAUGUGGGUAGGACUGAUAGCUCCACAUCCCUGUCCAGCCCAAGGGACUCUGCUGGACAAAAAGGCCCCGUUCCAACCCUGGCUCCCAGAAUUGCAAACCUAGAGCUCCUAAGAAAUACUAGCAAGAAGCUACUUCCAGAAGCUUGCACAGGUUUCAGCAAAAGCAGAGGUUGGGACUGUUUGACAACGAGGUUUCACUGCUGCCUGUCACGUCUCAGAUGAAGCUUCAGGAACAGGAUUGUUUGCCAGUAACCACCACCUUGUGCUGAUGUUAUCUAGUUUCUGCAGAAUGAAUUUGCUGAGUUGUCAUCUGUGGCACUGUCAGGGGAAGUCCUGACUCCUGACACUGCAGUUCCUGCCUCUGCUUUGCCAUAGCCCCAAUUCCAGCAGCAUUAUCUGGGCUGGUUGGAUUUGCUGGACAACUGCUUGUCCUGAAAUUGCAUGGAGUUGUCAGGAGGAAGUGGGAAGCAAGGCUGUGCUGCAGGCCUGUAGGCUCCCAAAUCCAGUUAAGUCACUGGGCAGGCUAACAAAUAGUUUCUGAUUGAGGAUAAAAUGGCUACUGACAGCUCAUUGCAAGGUAAUGCUGAACACCUGGUGACCAGUGAGCAAGAGGGGGUUUGUGCUAGAGCUAUUGUGUGGAUAUCUGCAAGUGCCUCUCAGUACCCAGGCUACUGGCUUCUGUGACAGAGGCAAGCUCUCUGGGUGCCAGACAGAGGCACUGCUGCAUUGCGGAGACAUUUGCUGAGUGAGGCAUCCCUUUUCUUCUGUGCAGACUUUCCCUACAAGCAAAGUGAUCUGAUUCACUCACCAGCUUCAGCCAGCAGAUAAUAGAUGAGUAGCUGAUAGGUGCUGGUGCAUGCUGGCACUGCUGUGUGACCAGGCAGGAUGAUGGCACCCCAUGCUGCCAGUGUAACAGACUGGCAGAACCAAACUCACUGGUUCAAACAAAAUCCCUUGGCUGCAGGCGCAAAGUGUUCUCUGUGUCUGUGCUGCAGAAGCAGACAUCUGUUCUGCUGCCUGUUGGACACCUCAGGUCACUCGAUCACGUGCACAAGGUUUAAGAGCAAUGCAAACUGCCAGUGUACCCUACCUGGCCACUUGCACGUGAGAUGGAACCUCAUUCAGGCAGGA
Molecule: RNA transcript, 4566 nt
Organism: Pseudopipra pipra
Lineage: Eukaryota; Metazoa; Chordata; Aves; Passeriformes; Pipridae
Gene: JDP2
Gene name: Jun dimerization protein 2
Exons: 5
Source: RefSeq, a predicted model, not a curated record